UACGUAGGGGGCGAGCGUUGUCCGGAAUCAUUGGGCGUAAAGCGCGUGUAGGCGGCUCGGUAAGUCUGCUGUGAAAGUCCAGGGCUCAACCCUGGGAUGCCGGUGGAUACUGUCGAGCUCGAGUCCGGAAGAGGCGAGUGGAAUUCCUGGUGUAGCGGUGAAAUGCGCAGAUAUCAGGAGGAACACCAAUGGCGAAGGCAGCUCGCUGGGACGUGACUGACGCUGAUACGCGAAAGCGUGGGGAGCAAACAGG
RNAcentral lists this ribosomal RNA (253 nucleotides) under uncultured bacterium. RNAcentral describes it as "partial 16S ribosomal RNA". It matches the Rfam family "Bacterial small subunit ribosomal RNA", at positions 524 to 776 of the family's 1533-position model. The record is from RNAcentral.